RNAcentral lists this long non-coding RNA (1330 nucleotides) under Dasypus novemcinctus (nine-banded armadillo). Its description in RNAcentral is "lncRNA (ENSDNOG00000052115.1)". The record is from RNAcentral. Lineage: Eukaryota; Metazoa; Chordata; Mammalia; Cingulata; Dasypodidae.
CAGCCCCGCGCGGGGAGGCCAGGCCAGGCCCUGCCAAGGGCGCCAGGCGCCGCGACCCCAGCCGGACGCGCCAGGUGCGCCUCGCCCGGGAAAGGCUUUUCCGGUCCCGUGGGCAGAGGGACAGGCAGGAACUCGGGCGGGCUGUCUCCACCCCAAGUGGGGCGGGUCCCGCCCGGGAUAAGACCCGCUGCCCGGCCCCGGAGAGGGUGUGACCUCGGUGGCCGAAGAGGACGAGCGCAGCCCCGCCUGGGCACCCAGCGCUAAAGAGACUCCUUUCUCCUGGUUUCCUUCCCGUUUCUCUCCUCAAGUAUCUACUGCCUUCAGCACAGUGCCCGGCACUUGGGAAUCUUGUUAUUUCUCAGCUGAAGCAGACAGAUGAGAAGCUGGCAUGUGAGAUAUGGCUGAAAGAACUGGAGCCGUGUAGACUGGAAAGGGAGGACUCUCAUGGGUAUGGGGGUGCAUGUUUGUGGCCCAAAAUUCCUAGGGGGCUUGACAUGUGGAUGAGCGAAUAAAUCCCCUCUGUGGGACUUUGGCUGGUAGAGCCAGAACAAGGGGUAGGGGUUUUUGGUUAAAUUUCAAGACGUGUCUUUUAAAACCCACAGACUGUAUGGCCUUAGAGAUGGUGAGACGCUCUCUAAAGGUGUCCACACAAAGAAACGGCAGCCCCUUUCUGAUGGGGCUUCUGAAGGAUAGGUUAAACUAAGUUGACUUUAAGGUCAUAGUUCCUAAACUUCAGGGUGCACCCAAAUCCCCUGGGAGCUUGUACAACAUGCAGAUUCAUGCCUCCUCUGCCAAAUUCUGAUACUGUAUGAUGGGACAGAACCCAAUAAUUUGCAUAUUUAACAGAUCAUUGUAAUUUGGGUGCUUCUAGGGUCUUGCUUUGAGAAACUUUGAUUUAGGAAAGCAAAUGAUAGGUGCAUGCUUGAUAAAUUGAAUAAAUCUUAAUGAGAGCAUAUGGACCUUCCUAAGGGAAUUUAGGCUUGUCAUUAUUGCUUCACACUCUAGGAAGGCAGUCCAUGCUGAAACCUUCCAGGCUCUCGGGGAAAGUCCUUGUACCCUCAUUAUCACAUCUCCUUUGUGAUUUGAUCAACAACAGUUUUUUGUUUUUGUUUUUUUUCUCUUCAAACUUACCCUAACUAAGUCUUACAGUGCCUAAAACCUGGAGACCUCUAUGGAGCCCACCUGAAGGUUUGUUUUUUGUUGCUGUUUGUCUGUUUUUUUAACAGUUUAAUUUUUAGAGCAAUUGCAGGUUUUGAAAAAAUUAAACUGAAAGUACAAGAUUUCCAUAUAACUCCCUUUUUCCUCUCAGUUUUCCCUAUUAUUAACAUUU